GGCCGGAUGGCGGAGUGGUGACGCACCGGAUCGCAAAUCCGUUCAGCCUGGUUCAAUUCCAGGUCCGGCCUCCA
RNAcentral lists this transfer RNA (74 nucleotides) under Phenylobacterium sp. Its description in RNAcentral is "tRNA-Cys". It matches the Rfam family "tRNA". Rfam says of the family: Transfer RNA (tRNA) molecules are approximately 80 nucleotides in length. Their secondary structure includes four short double-helical elements and three loops (D, anti-codon, and T loops). Further hydrogen bonds mediate the characteristic L-shaped molecular structure. tRNAs have two regions of fundamental functional importance: the anti-codon, which is responsible for specific mRNA codon recognition, and the 3' end, to which the tRNAs corresponding amino acid is attached (by aminoacyl-tRNA synthetases). tRNAs cope with the degeneracy of the genetic code in two manners: having more than one tRNA (with a specific anti-codon) for a particular amino acid; and 'wobble' base-pairing, i.e. permitting non-standard base-pairing at the 3rd anti-codon position. The record is from RNAcentral. Lineage: Bacteria; Pseudomonadati; Pseudomonadota; Alphaproteobacteria; Caulobacterales; Caulobacteraceae.